RNAcentral lists this ribosomal RNA (434 nucleotides) under uncultured bacterium. RNAcentral describes it as "partial 16S ribosomal RNA". It matches the Rfam family "Bacterial small subunit ribosomal RNA", at positions 29 to 507 of the family's 1533-position model. The record is from RNAcentral.
AGCGAACGCUGGCGGCAGGCCUAACACAUGCAAGUCGAACGAACCUUUCGGGGUUAGUUGCGGUCGGGUGAGUACCACGUGGGAACGUGCCUUUAGGUUCGGUAUAACUCAGGGAAACUUGUGCUAAUACCGAAUGUGCCCUUCGGGGGUAAGAUUUCUCGCCUUUAGAGCGGCCUGCGUCUGUUUAGCUAGUUGGUUGAGGUAAUGGCUCACCAAGGCGACGUUCAGUAGCUGGUCGGAGAGGAGGAUAAGCCACAUUGGGACUGAGACACGGCCCACAAUCGUAAGGGAGGGAGCAGUGGGGAAUAUAGCGCAAGGGGGGAAAGUGUGACGAAGCCAUGCCGGGUAAAAGAGGAAGGGGGUAGGAUUGUAAAAUUCUUUCUCAGGAGACGAUAAUGACGGUACCCGGAGAAGAAGCACCGGCUAACUUCGUG